GUGGUCCAGCGAUGCAGCAUCGCGUGGGUCACGUCGGGAUGAAACUGAAUGCCGAAGCAUCGCCCGGUGCGAUAAGCCUGCACCGGAAAAUCAUCGCCCUCGGCCAGCAGCUCGGUGCCCACGGGAAGCUCAAAGCCUUCGCGAUGCCAUUGAUAGACGUGGUCGGGCCAAUGCGAGCAUAUCUUCCGGCCCGCUUCGGUCGGACGGAUC
RNAcentral lists this unclassified non-coding RNA (210 nucleotides) under Hevea brasiliensis (rubber tree). Lineage: Eukaryota; Viridiplantae; Streptophyta; Magnoliopsida; Malpighiales; Euphorbiaceae. The record is from RNAcentral.